ACACAUGCUCUUGCUCUCUCGCGCUCUGGGAGAGCGCUUAUAUGGGCUUCAUGAGGCUAAGUAAUAAACACUUUGUCUUCACCCUGCUAUUUAUGGGUUGCUUGGGGCAUCCUGUGCUCUCCACUGCCCUUACCUGAACAGACGGCUCAUGCAGACCCGGAGUUUAAUAGGGACAACAGUAAAUCUGAGAGGCUGUGUGUGUCCCACGCGCUCCUGUUUUCCCAGCCACCCAUGCUAGUUGCAGAGAAAAGCCAACCUGUAUCCCUUCGUUUAUGCUCUGUGUGCCCUUCCUGGAGAGAUCCCUUCAUUCUUCAGCAAUGGAUCAAAGAACUCUGAAAACAAGAACAACCCCGACAGCUGCAAACCACGAGCCCUCACCUCCAGCAGAGGUUUUCGGGAAACUCUGGACGACCACGCGCAUGCAGAGGUAAGGGAAUGAUCCGGUCCUACCUGGCGUUGACUUCCAGGUUCACUCAAAGGCCACGUGCCACCCUUUGCACAUCGUGUUUGGGUUGCAAAGGGGAAAGAUGCAUAUUGAAAGCCAGAAGUGUGCCCAGGCCAACAGACGUCUGAAAGCCACAGGGGACGACCCUGAAAAAGUCUGGCAGAUGCAGAACCACAGCUGAUCACUUUGGUCCGUUUGAGGGCCCCUUUCGCUCAGCUCUUUUGGGGGUUCCAGGGCUCUCAGAGCUUCCAGGUCCUGUAAGAAGAGAUGGAGUCAUAGCUGCGCCCUGUCCACUCUCGGGCUGUCACACAAGCCUGGAGCCCAGCCAUUUCUCGGCCUUGUCUUCAUCUUGGGCUAACCGGUCGUCUCCUGCAAACAGACAGCACGGAGAAGGAUGAGUGAACUCGGCCUCUCCCCACAGAAUACAGUUCGCCAUUACAGCGCUGAUUAAAUACAGGACAUUAUCUCACCAUAAUGCCCUCCUGGCGGCGUUCCCAGGAAAAUUCUAACUAAUCAUAAAAAUAGAAAGAAAAACGCAACCUAAAUUCCAUUCCUCGUCUUAAAUGAGUGAUGUGUUCACUUUUAUUUAUUUUUCUGGAAGCGAGGCGGGAAAAGAAAAUGAAUUUUAGGGCUUAGAAAAACAAGCUACUAAUAGUACUAAGUAGAGCUGGGGCGGUGGUGCAGACAGCUUAGCUCUAGCAGGGAUGUAGCCGGCAUGGCACGGGUGAGUCCUGGCCCUGCUCCUGGCUGAAAACUUAAGAGUUUAGAACUGGAGCACCUGGCAGGGCAAAGGCAGGAUGGGGUGAGGGAAAGUUGUGGGGUUGAGUGUGGACCCCCCCAACCCCCUACAAAUGCACACACAAGCUAGGCGCUCAAUAGCUUUCUUAUAGCCCAGGUAGGCAAAUCCUCUUCCAAUAUACCUUUGAAAAUAAUGCCUGAUCUUUCUCCAGCAGCAUUCUUUUUGGAAACACAGGCAUAGUUUAGGUAUUUUUCUCCCUGGAAGGUUCUUUCCUGGAAGUUCACCCAAUUAAUUCCUACUCACACAUUUUAGAGAUCUGAACAGUAAGAAGCCUUCUCUAAGAACCCCUACCCUGACUCCAGUCCAGGGGCUGGUCCUGUAAACCUUCUCUUCAUAACAGCCAUGUGACUGUAAUUAAUGCAAUAACUGCAUAGUUGAUUGUUUAACAUGGUUGUCUGUCCCCUCCCUUAGAUUAAAAAUGUGUUUGUCUUAUUCCUGACUUUGUAAGUACUAGGUACAAAGUAGCUGCCCAAUACAUGCCUGUGUUGGAUGAGUGCUGACGGGUCACGGUGGGCGCC
This is a long non-coding RNA of Homo sapiens (human), 1762 nucleotides long. Ensembl annotates it as hepatocellular carcinoma associated transcript 5. Its record names the gene HCCAT5. The record is from Ensembl. NCBI's taxonomy places the organism in Eukaryota, Metazoa, Chordata, Mammalia, Primates, Hominidae.